GGGACUUACCGGGCUGCGCUCCCACCCCAUCACCAUGCUGGGUCCGCUGGGAAUCUGCGUUUUCCUGCUUGGCCUCUCCGGGGCCCGGGCACAGGUGGUUCUCACCCAGUCCGGCCCGGAGAUUAAGAAACCCGGAGAAUCCACCAAACUGACCUGUGCGGUGAGCGGCUUUGAUCUCAGCAGCUAUAGCAUGUACUGGGUCCGACAGGCUCCGGGAAAGGGGCUGGAGUGGCUGAUUUAUUAUUAUUCAUCGUCUGACAACAGCUACUCCCCGACAAUCCAGGGCCGAUUCACGGCCUCCAAGGACAGCUCCAAUUUCUACCUGCACAUGACGGGCCUGAAAGCGGAGGACACCGCCCGGUAUUACUGUGCGAGACACAGCGAGGAGAAGCCGGGCUGA
Molecule: non-coding RNA, 400 nt
Organism: Mauremys reevesii (Reeves's turtle)
Lineage: Eukaryota; Metazoa; Chordata; Testudines; Geoemydidae
Source: the annotation of a RefSeq genome assembly